CAAGUCGAACGAGAAAGGGGAGCAAUCCCUGAGUACAGUGGCGUACGGGUGAGUAACACGUGGAUGAUCUAUCUCUUUGUGGGGAAUAACUCUGGGAAACCGGAGAUAAUACCGCAUAUGCUCGAGAGAGGAAAGCAGCAAUGCGCUGAGAGAGGAGUCCGCGGCCGAUUAGCUAGUUGGCAGGGUAAAAGCCUACCAAGGCAUAGAUCGGUAGCCGGCCUGAGAGGGCACACGGCCACACUGGCACUGAAACACGGGCCAGACUCCUACGGGAGGCAGCAGUGGGGAAUCUUGCACAAUGGGGGCAACCCUGAUGCAGCGACGCCGCGUGAGCGAUGAAGCCCUUCGGGGUGUAAAGCUCUUUCGGCAGGGAAGAUUAUGACGGUACCUGCAGAAGCAGCUGCGGCUAACUACGUGCCAGCAGCCGCGGUAAUACGUAGGCAGCGAGCGUUGUUCGGAGUUACUGGGCGUAAAGGGUGUGUAGGCGGUUGUUUAAGUUUGGUGUGAAAUCUCCCGGCUCAACUGGGAGGGUGCGCCGAAUACUGAAUGACUUCGAGUACGGGAGAGGUGAGUGGAAUUCCUGGUGUAGCGGUGAAAUGCGUAGAUAUCAGGAGGAACACCGGUGGUGUAGACGGCUCACUGGACCGUAACUGACGCUGAGACACGAAAGCGUGGGUAGCAAACAGGAUUAGAUACCCUGGUAGUCCACGCCCUAAACGAUGCAUAUUUGGUGUGGGCAGUUCAUUCUGUCCGUGCCGGAGCUAACGCGUUAAAUAUGCCGCCUGGGGAGUACAGUCGCAAGGCUGAAACUCAAAGGAAUUGACGGGGGCCCGCACAAGCGGUGGAGCAUGUGGUUCAAUUCGACGCAACGCGAAGAACCUUACCUAGGCUCGAACGGCU
This 900-nucleotide ribosomal RNA is filed under the name uncultured Actinomycetes bacterium. RNAcentral's name for it is "bacterial SSU rRNA". It matches the Rfam family "Bacterial small subunit ribosomal RNA", at positions 58 to 990 of the family's 1533-position model. The record is from RNAcentral. Lineage: Bacteria; Bacillati; Actinomycetota; Actinomycetes.